GAAUAAACCGAAACCGAAUUGAACCAAUAACUAUUUUAACCGAACUGAAACUGACCCGCGAGACAUUUAAUCCGAUUUCAAACCGAUCCGAUUUAAUACCGAACCGAACCCAAACUAUCAAACCGUUUUGACAGUGCUACUAGUAAUAGUUAGUUAGUUAUAAUCUCUUUAAUUGUAUUAACUAUUGAUUUAUAAUUCUCAUUGGCCACUCGAUAAAAACACGGAUUAGAAUCCAUACCCCUCAUCAAAACACCCUCACAACUGCUGAUUAAACCCAUCUUUAAUCCAAUGGCCUUAUUCAUCUUCCCAAAAUACCUGUCAAAAAAAAAAAAAAAAAAAAAAAAAAACCUUCCCAAAAUCACCAAUAAUGAAACCUAAUCUAAAUCGGAAAACUUCAACUUUGCUUCAAUUUUUUUCAUUCAAACCCUAUAAUCACGGUUAUCCCUCUUCAACUCUCCUUCAAUUACAACUUUAAUAUCACGGUUCAUCACCAAUUCACCACCCAAUCAGGCGAUCAACAAGAACUCACAAGGAAUACGCCUCCGCUACCCACCAAUAUGCAGGUUAGUCAUUGUGAAUAAGGAGCCAAUUGCCGGAGAAGUGGUGCGGUAUCACGUAUGCUCUCUAAACAGAGGGGUGGCAGCGUGUAUAGUUGUGUACAAGAGAGUGGGAGGUUGAGAGGGGGAGGGUUUUCGCUGGGAUGUUGGGUGAUGUGAAUCAGAGAGCAUUUGAUUCUAUAGCUAGAAAGAGAGUGUCGGUAGAAAAAUAAUAUGUUGCAUCAUCUAGAAGUAAUAAACAGGACAUUAUUGUCUCAGGACUUCAUAUAAAUUCUAUGGUUGAUACACUCUUAUAGGUGAUUUUAUUAAUAUGUUACUAGUUUUGUUUCACCUCAAGAUACUUUAGUUACACUUUACGUACUUAGUCUCAAAAUUUACUUUAGUUAGUCUCUCAAUUAAGUUUGUACUCUUACCAAGUUAAUAAAUUAUGAAUUAGUCC
Molecule: long non-coding RNA, 996 nt
Organism: Chenopodium quinoa (quinoa)
Lineage: Eukaryota; Viridiplantae; Streptophyta; Magnoliopsida; Caryophyllales; Amaranthaceae
Exons: 2
Source: RefSeq, a predicted model, not a curated record